GACGAACGCUGGCGGCGUGCUUAACACAUGCAAGUCGAACGGUGAAGCGCCUUCCUUUUUGGUGGGUGUGGAUGAGUGGCGAACGGGUGAGUAACACGUGAGUAACCUGCCCCCUUCUUCUGGAUAACCGCAUGAAAGUGUGGCUAAUACGGGAUAUUCUGGGUCUGUCGCAUGAUGGGUCUGGGAAAGAUAUUGUUUCGGUGGGGGAUGGGCUCGCGGCCUAUCAGCUUGUUGGUGGGGUGAUGGCCUACCAAGGCGGUGAGGGGUAGCCGGCCUGAGAGGGUGGACGGUCACACUGGGACUGAGACACGGCCCAGACUCCUACGGGAGGCAGCAGUGGGGAAUAGUGCACAAUGGGCGCAAGCCUGAUGCAGCGACGCCGCGUGAGGGAUGGAGGCCUUCGGGUUGUGAACCUCUUUCGCCAGUGAAGCAGGCCUGCCUCGUUUGUGGGUGGGUUGACGGUAGCUGGAUAAGAAGCGCCGGCUAACUACGUG
RNAcentral lists this ribosomal RNA (494 nucleotides) under uncultured bacterium. RNAcentral's name for it is "partial 16S ribosomal RNA". It matches the Rfam family "Bacterial small subunit ribosomal RNA", at positions 28 to 507 of the family's 1533-position model. The record is from RNAcentral.